Molecule: ribosomal RNA, 1325 nt
Filed under: Vibrio sp. 2C10
Lineage: Bacteria; Pseudomonadati; Pseudomonadota; Gammaproteobacteria; Vibrionales; Vibrionaceae
Also listed under: 1 other name
Description: bacterial SSU rRNA
Rfam family: Bacterial small subunit ribosomal RNA
Source: RNAcentral
GAGCGGCGGACGGGUGAGUAAUGCCUAGGAAAUUGCCCUGAUGUGGGGGAUAACCAUUGGAAACGAUGGCUAAUACCGCAUAAUGCCUACGGGCCAAAGAGGGGGACCUUCGGGCCUCUCGCGUCAGGAUAUGCCUAGGUGGGAUUAGCUAGUUGGUGAGGUAAUGGCUCACCAAGGCGACGAUCCCUAGCUGGUCUGAGAGGAUGAUCAGCCACACUGGAACUGAGACACGGUCCAGACUCCUACGGGAGGCAGCAGUGGGGAAUAUUGCACAAUGGGCGCAAGCCUGAUGCAGCCAUGCCGCGUGUGUGAAGAAGGCCUUCGGGUUGUAAAGCACUUUCAGUCGUGAGGAAGGUAGUGUAGUUAAUAGCUGCAUUAUUUGACGUUAGCGACAGAAGAAGCACCGGCUAACUCCGUGCCAGCAGCCGCGGUAAUACGGAGGGUGCGAGCGUUAAUCGGAAUUACUGGGCGUAAAGCGCAUGCAGGUGGUUUGUUAAGUCAGAUGUGAAAGCCCGGGGCUCAACCUCGGAAUAGCAUUUGAAACUGGCAGACUAGAGUACUGUAGAGGGGGGUAGAAUUUCAGGUGUAGCGGUGAAAUGCGUAGAGAUCUGAAGGAAUACCGGUGGCGAAGGCGGCCCCCUGGACAGAUACUGACACUCAGAUGCGAAAGCGUGGGGAGCAAACAGGAUUAGAUACCCUGGUAGUCCACGCCGUAAACGAUGUCUACUUGGAGGUUGUGGCCUUGAGCCGUGGCUUUCGGAGCUAACGCGUUAAGUAGACCGCCUGGGGAGUACGGUCGCAAGAUUAAAACUCAAAUGAAUUGACGGGGGCCCGCACAAGCGGUGGAGCAUGUGGUUUAAUUCGAUGCAACGCGAAGAACCUUACCUACUCUUGACAUCCAGAGAACUUUCCAGAGAUGGAUUGGUGCCUUCGGGAACUCUGAGACAGGUGCUGCAUGGCUGUCGUCAGCUCGUGUUGUGAAAUGUUGGGUUAAGUCCCGCAACGAGCGCAACCCUUAUCCUUGUUUGCCAGCGAGUAAUGUCGGGAACUCCAGGGAGACUGCCGGUGAUAAACCGGAGGAAGGUGGGGACGACGUCAAGUCAUCAUGGCCCUUACGAGUAGGGCUACACACGUGCUACAAUGGCGCAUACAGAGGGCAGCAAGCUAGCGAUAGUGAGCGAAUCCCAAAAAGUGCGUCGUAGUCCGGAUUGGAGUCUGCAACUCGACUCCAUGAAGUCGGAAUCGCUAGUAAUCGUGGAUCAGAAUGCCACGGUGAAUACGUUCCCGGGCCUUGUACACACCGCCCGUCACACCAUGGGAGUGGG